RNAcentral lists this ribosomal RNA (447 nucleotides) under Campylobacter gracilis. Its description in RNAcentral is "bacterial SSU rRNA". It matches the Rfam family "Bacterial small subunit ribosomal RNA", at positions 29 to 491 of the family's 1533-position model. Lineage: Bacteria; Pseudomonadati; Campylobacterota; Epsilonproteobacteria; Campylobacterales; Campylobacteraceae. The record is from RNAcentral.
AGUGAACGCUGGCGGCGUGCCUAAUACAUGCAAGUCGAACGGAAUUUAAAAGAGCUUGCUCUUUUAAAUUUAGUGGCGCACGGGUGAGUAAUAUAUAGCUAAUCUGCCCCUUGCUGGAGGACAACAGUUAGAAAUGACUGCUAAUACUCCAUACUCCUUUUUACCAUAAGAUAAAUCGGGAAAGAAUUUCGGCAAGGGAUGAGACUAUAUCGUAUCAGCUAGUCGGUGGGGUAACGGCCUACCGAGGCUAUGACGCGUAACUGGUCUGAGAGGAUGAUCAGUCACAUUGGAACUGAGACACGGUCCAAACUCCUACGGGAGGCAGCAGUAGGGAAUAUUGCGCAAUGGGGGAAACCCUGACGCAGCAACGCCGCGUGGAGGAUGACACUUUUCGGAGCGUAAACUCCUUUUGUUAGGGAAGAAUAAUGACGGUACCUACGAAUAAGC